RNAcentral lists this ribosomal RNA (253 nucleotides) under uncultured bacterium. Its description in RNAcentral is "partial 16S ribosomal RNA". It matches the Rfam family "Bacterial small subunit ribosomal RNA", at positions 524 to 776 of the family's 1533-position model. The record is from RNAcentral.
GACAGAGGGUGCAAACGUUGUUCGGAAUUACUGGGCGUAAAGCGAGUGUAGGCGGUUUCCUAAGUCGGGUGUGAAAGCCCCGGGCUCAACCCGGGAAGUGCACUCGAAGCUGGGAGGCUAGAGUAUCGGAGAGGUUGGUGGAAUUCUCGGUGUAGAGGUGAAAUUCGUAGAUAUCGAGAGGAACACCGGUGGCGAAGGCGGCCAACUGGACGAAUACUGACGCUGAGACUCGAAAGCGUGGGGAGCAAACAGG